CCUACGGGAGGCAGUAGUAGGGAAUCUUCCACAAUGGGCGAAAGCCUGAUGGAGCAACGCCGCGUGGGUGAAGAAGGUCUUCGGAUCGUAAAACCCUGUUGUUCGAGAAGAAAGUGCGUGAGAGUAACUGUUCACGUUUCGUCGGUAUCUAACCAGAAAGCCACGGCUAACUACGUGCCAGCAGCCGCGGUAAUACGUAGGUGGCAAGCUUUAUCCGGAUUUAUUGGGCGUAAAGGGAACGCCGGCGGUCUUGUAAGUCUGAUGUGAAAGCCUUCGGCUUAACCGGAGUAGUGCAUUGGAAACUGGGAGACUUGAGUGCAGGAGAGGAGAGUGGAACUCCAUGUGUAGCGGUGAAAUGCGUAGAUAUAUGGAAGAACACCAGUGGCGAAAGCGGCUCUCUGGUCUGUAAUUGACGCUGAGGAACGAAAGCGAGGGUAGCAAAUGGGAUUAGAUACCCGAGUAGUC
Molecule: ribosomal RNA, 465 nt
Filed under: uncultured bacterium
Lineage: Bacteria
Description: partial 16S ribosomal RNA
Rfam family: Bacterial small subunit ribosomal RNA
Source: RNAcentral